GAUGAACGCUGGCGGCGUGCCUAAUACAUGCAAGUAGAACGCUGAAGGAAGGAGCUUGCUCUUUCCGGAUGAGUUGCGAACGGGUGAGUAACGCGUAGGUAACCUGCCUGGUAGCGGGGGAUAACUAUUGGAAACGAUAGCUAAUACCGCAUAACAGUAGAUGUUGCAUGAUAUCUACUUAAAAGGUGCAAUUUCACCACUACCAGAUGGACCUGCGUUGUAUUAGCUAGUUGGUGAGGUAACGGCUCACCAAGGCGACGAUACAUAGCCGACCUGAGAGGGUGAUCGGCCAAACUGGGACUGAGACACGGCCCAGACUCCUACGGGAGGCAGCAGUAGGGAAUCUUCGGGAAAGGACGGAAGGCUGAACGAGCAACGCCGCGUGAGUGAAGAAGGUUUUCGGAUCGUAAAGCUCUGUUGUAAGAGAAGAACGAGUGGGAGAGUGGAAAGUUCACACUGUGACGGUAUCUUACCAGAAAGGGACGGCUAACUACGUG
This 497-nucleotide ribosomal RNA is filed under the name uncultured bacterium. Its description in RNAcentral is "partial 16S ribosomal RNA". It matches the Rfam family "Bacterial small subunit ribosomal RNA", at positions 28 to 507 of the family's 1533-position model. The record is from RNAcentral.